GGACUACCGGGGUUUCUAAUCCUGUUUGCUCCCCUUGCUCUCGCGCCUCAGCGUCAGGUAUUAACUAGAAAACCGCUUUCGCCACCGGUGUUCUUCCACAUAUCUACGCAUUUCACCGCUACACGUGGAAUUCCAUUUUCUCCGUCAAUCCUCUAGAAUUGUAGUUUCAAAUGCAGCUCCGAAGUUGAGCUUCGGAAUUUCACAUCUGACUUACAUUUCCGCCUACGCGCCCUUUACGCCCAAUAAUUCCGAUUAAUGCUUGCACUCUCCGUAUUACCGCGGCUGCUGGCAC
RNAcentral lists this ribosomal RNA (292 nucleotides) under uncultured bacterium. RNAcentral's name for it is "partial 16S ribosomal RNA". The record is from RNAcentral.